GUUUUAAUAGUUUAUAAAAAACAUUGGUUUUGUAAACCAAAAAUAAAUUUGAAUUUUUAAAACU
This 64-nucleotide transfer RNA is filed under the name Schizocephala bicornis. RNAcentral's name for it is "tRNA-Thr". It matches the Rfam family "tRNA". Rfam says of the family: Transfer RNA (tRNA) molecules are approximately 80 nucleotides in length. Lineage: Eukaryota; Metazoa; Arthropoda; Insecta; Mantodea; Mantidae. The record is from RNAcentral.